GGUGUCGGGGAUUACCCCCUGCGGUGCCGCAACGAACGCAUUCAGUAAUCCAGCUGGGAAGAACGCGCGCAAGGGUGAAUGUCAAAGGAAUUGACGGAGAACCGCACAAUUAGCAGGGCAAGUUGGUUAAUUCGAAGCAACGCGAAGAACCUUACCUAAGCUUGACAUCACAAUGACAUCUCCUUAAUCGGAGAGUUCCCGUCGGGGACGAUGUUGACAAGUUGGGCAUAGUUGUUGUCAGCUCGUAUCGUCCGAUGCUUGUUGAAGUCUGACAACGCGGGCAAAGAUUGUCUUUAAUUUCCCUCAUUUAGUUGGGCACUCCAGACAAACUGCCCGGGCGAGCCUGGUGGAAGGUGGGCAUGACGUCCACUAAUCAUGCACCUUAAGCUUAAGGACACAC
RNAcentral lists this ribosomal RNA (400 nucleotides) under Clostridioides difficile. Its description in RNAcentral is "bacterial SSU rRNA". It matches the Rfam family "Bacterial small subunit ribosomal RNA", at positions 819 to 1219 of the family's 1533-position model. The record is from RNAcentral. Lineage: Bacteria; Bacillati; Bacillota; Clostridia; Peptostreptococcales; Peptostreptococcaceae.